GACGAACGCUGGCGGCGUGCUUAACACAUGCAAGUCGAACGGAAAGGCCCUGCUUUUGUGGGGUGCUCGAGUGGCGAACGGGUGAGUAACACGUGAGUAACCUGCCCUUGACUUUGGGAUAACUUCAGGAAACUGGGGCUAAUACCGGAUAGGAGCUCCUGCUGCAUGGUGGGGGUUGGAAAGUUUCGGCGGUUGGGGAUGGACUCGCGGCUUAUCAGCUUGUUGGUGGGGUAGUGGCUUACCAAGGCUUUGACGGGUAGCCGGCCUGAGAGGGUGACCGGCCACAGUGGGACUGAGAUACGGCCCAGACUCCUACGGGAGGCAGCGGUGGGGAAUAUUGCACAAUGGGCGGAAGCCUGAUGCAGCAACGCCGCGUGCGGGAUGACGGCCUUCGGGUUGUAAACCGCUUUCGCCUGUGACGAAGCGGGAGUGACGGUAAUGGGUAAAGAAGCACCGGCUAACUACGUG
Molecule: ribosomal RNA, 468 nt
Filed under: uncultured bacterium
Lineage: Bacteria
Description: partial 16S ribosomal RNA
Rfam family: Bacterial small subunit ribosomal RNA
Source: RNAcentral